GUAGGUCAGGUGACCCGAGUGGCGGGCGGCGAGGGCGGGGCGAUGCUCAGGCCCCGCCCAUGGGCAUCCCGGGUCCUGGGGCUGGGCGGGCGCGAAGGCGAUGCCACUCCCUCUCAUUGCCAUCCCGGCUUUUGGAUGGGUUUAAGGCGCGAGUUGUCGGACUCCUAAGGUCCUCUCUAGGUGAUAGACUGGGAGAAACCGGCAGGGAGUGUCACCUCUUGCUUCCUUAAGGCAUUAGUAACUGGAUAACCACAGACAUGAAAGCAAUGCAAAAUUGGAGCUGACCUUCAUCAUUAUCAAGCUGUGAGGCUCACUUCUGAUUUGCAGACCUGUACAGAGUGAACUGAGGCUUCCCAGGUGACUCAGUGGUAAAGAAUCUGCCUGCCAAUGCAGGAGAUGCAAGAAAUGUGGAUUUAGUCCUUGGGUCAGGAAGAUCUCCUGAGUAGGAAAUGGCAACGCACUCCAGUAUUCUUGCCUGGCAUGGACAGAGGAGCCUGGCAGGCAACAGUCCAUGGGGUCUCAAAGAGUCAGACACGACUGAGGACGCAUGCAACGACGGGGUGAGCUGAGGGUUGGGAGACCUGGCCCAAGUGUACCCCUCUGGAAAUGCGCACCCCGAUUGUUUAACUUUCUGAUUAUCUUAAGAUGGGCCGGGAAAUCCUUUCUUACCAACCUUUGCUGUUGAACGUUUGUCUCUUUAGCUUAUUUGUCCAGUUUCCUGCCAUAGCCAGCAGAAUGUAUAGAACAGACUGUUAGGCUGUCAGUUUCACGUUCCCAAGAGUCCUUGAAUAGUUCCCUUUCUGAUGGUGCCUCAAAGUCUCUGGUGGCUCCUGAUAGAGAUCCAGACCUUUCUCCUGUCUUCAAGGUCUGGCCUGAUGCCUCUGGCCACUGCUCCAGCCACAGUCCCAUCACACCUGCCCAUCCUCAGGCGUACUUUCUGGUCUCCCAGCUAUACCUGGUGUCCUCCAGCCUCUUCCCACUACUCUUCACAUGGUUAUCUCUUACUCUUCUUUGGUCUCAGCAAACAGCCAUUUUCUCAGGGAGGCCUUCCCUAACUUUCACACCCAGGUUAAGUCCUUUUACCCUCUCUCAGAGCCUUGUGCCCUUCCUUUGAUCACAACUCUUGGCAUUGCUGGAGUUUAUCGUAUGUCUGUUGCCUCCAUGUCAAUCCCCCUUCAUAAACAUUGUAUUCUGUGGCAUCAGCCAACGUGUUGUGUUAGUGUAGUGCCUGGCACUAAUAGAUGCUAGUGAAG
Long non-coding RNA from Bos taurus (domestic cattle), 1253 nucleotides. NCBI's taxonomy places the organism in Eukaryota, Metazoa, Chordata, Mammalia, Artiodactyla, Bovidae. The record is from Ensembl.